GCCGCCAUAGUUCAGUUGGUUAGAACGCUUGUUUGUGGAACAAGAGGUCCCCCGUUCAAGUCGGGGUGGCGGUACCA
Molecule: transfer RNA, 77 nt
Filed under: Falsihalocynthiibacter arcticus
Lineage: Bacteria; Pseudomonadati; Pseudomonadota; Alphaproteobacteria; Rhodobacterales; Roseobacteraceae
Also listed under: 3 other names
Description: tRNA-His
Rfam family: tRNA
About the family: Transfer RNA (tRNA) molecules are approximately 80 nucleotides in length. Their secondary structure includes four short double-helical elements and three loops (D, anti-codon, and T loops).
Source: RNAcentral